This 467-nucleotide ribosomal RNA is filed under the name uncultured bacterium. Its description in RNAcentral is "partial 16S ribosomal RNA". It matches the Rfam family "Bacterial small subunit ribosomal RNA", at positions 28 to 507 of the family's 1533-position model. The record is from RNAcentral.
GAUGAACGCUGGCGGCGUGCUUAACACAUGCAAGUCGAACGGAAAGGCCUCGUUCGGGGGGUACUCGAGUGGCGAACGGGUGAGUAACACGUGAGUAACCUGCCCUUGUCUUUGGGUUAACUUAAGGAAACUGGGCCGAGUUCCGACCGGAAGAUCUUGUGGACCGGAGGGGUCUGUAGAGUUACGGGGUUUGGGGGUGGCUUCGCGGUUUAUCAGCGUGUUGGUGGGGAGUUGGCUUACCAAGGCUUUGCCGGGUCGGCGACCCGUAGGGGUGAGCGGCCACAUUGGGACUGAGAUACGGCCCAGACACCUACGGGAGGCAGCAGUGGGGAAUAUUGCACGAUGGGUGGAAGCCUGAUGCAGAAACGCCGUGGGCGGGAUGACGGCCUUCGGGUUGAAAACCGCAUUCGCACAUAACGAAGCUUUGUGUGCCGGUAGUGGGUAAAGAAGCACCGGCUAACUACGUG